AGUGAACGCUGGCGGUAGGCCUAACACAUGCAAGUCGAACGGCAGCACAGUAAGAGCUUGCUCUUACGGGUGGCGAGUGGCGGACGGGUGAGGAAUACAUCGGAAUCUACUUUUUCGUGGGGGAUAACGUAGGGAAACUUACGCUAAUACCGCAUACGACCUACGGGUGAAAGCAGGGGAUCUUCGGACCUUGCGCGAUUGAAUGAGCCGAUGUCGGAUUAGCUAGUUGGCGGGGUAAAGGCCCACCAAGGCGACGAUCCGUAGCUGGUCUGAGAGGAUGAUCAGCCACACUGGAACUGAGACACAGUCCAGACUCCUACGGGAGGCAGCAGUGGGGAAUAUUGGACAAUGGGCACAAGCCUGAUCCAGCCAUACCGCGUGGGUGAAGAAGGCCUUCGGGUUGUAAAGCCCUUUUGUUGGGAAAGAAAAGCAGCAGGUUAAUACCCCGCUGUUCUGACGGUACCCAAAGAAUAAGCACCGGCUAACUUCGUG
RNAcentral lists this ribosomal RNA (492 nucleotides) under uncultured bacterium. RNAcentral's name for it is "partial 16S ribosomal RNA". It matches the Rfam family "Bacterial small subunit ribosomal RNA", at positions 29 to 507 of the family's 1533-position model. The record is from RNAcentral.